GGCGCAAGACGCACGCAGACAAUGCACGAGGAGAUUGCGGAGAAUCGGAAGGUGAGGCUUUCCCAGCGAAAAGUCGCAGCCAGUUUCCUUUAGGGAGAGCACCGGUUUAGGUGGAUGUGAGCAUUAUUAUGUUGAUUCAUGCUUUGCUCGUUAUCUACUUUUUCGUCAGCGAAGUGCAAUGCGGAAAGGGUAGCACUCAACUCAUGGAAAAUUCAAUAGUAAGAGAUGGCUGGAACUUUUUCGCACGUCGCUUGCAAUUCGUGAUGUUGAAGAGGACCUACAAUGUCACUGGGGGGCUCAACAACUCCAUGUGUAUGAUGGUUCCGUUUCCGCCCAAGAUAGAUAGGAUGCAACAUGUGCUGAAUGCGACGUUCACUUAUCGCAACUUGAGCUCCACGUAUAAGCUGCAUCCUGAAAAUACAGCAGACAACACUUCUUAUUGGCCCAUUGCAAUAUUUCAGUUGCAUUUCUAUGCGCGUAAUCUGAAAGGAGGAGCGAGCUUACGAAAGACAGGUUUGGACUUUGUGAAUCCAACGACCGUGAUGCGUGAAUACGGAUAUGCUCUUUCCCCACCAUUUUGGCGUAUCAUGUACUGCAACAACCACUGUGCCGUUGUUGACGUCCGCCAGUUGACGUUUACCACGACUUUUCUUUUCACGGCGUAUGACGUAUUUUAUGCUAAGAAGAACAUACGAUGUGGCAGGAGGGCUGGAGAAUUGCAUGUGCGUCAUGGCACCCUUUUACCCGUUCGUUGACAUGCAAAACCAUAGACUAAGCACGACCUUUACUUACCAGAAUAGAAGCUCCAACGAUGCACAACUCAAUCCAGGAUCUUCUCAAGAAGCUUUCAAAUGGCCUGCCGCGAAAAUACGUAUGCAGUUUUCCAAGGCACACAUGUCCAUUUCCAAAACUGCACGUGGCUUCAAUUAUGCAAAAUCAUGGAUCCGAACAAGACAGCAUGGAUAUUCACUUCCACCACCACAUUGGUACUUUUUGUACGCAGACAAAGACUGUGCAGUUGUCGGUGUGUACGACCAGACAAUCUUGACGAGCAGCCAUUCG
This 1062-nucleotide unclassified non-coding RNA is filed under the name Dermacentor andersoni. Its description in RNAcentral is "uncharacterized LOC126543858". The record is from RNAcentral. Lineage: Eukaryota; Metazoa; Arthropoda; Arachnida; Ixodida; Ixodidae.